UUUUUUGGCUUCUUUCUCUCAUAUUAUCACAAAAGUCCAAACCAAACCCAUCCUUGUUGUUCUCAAAUAGCUUCUCCCUCCAAAUUAAUGUACACCUCUUUAAGCACAAAGUACAACCAUCUAAAGCACACCUACCUCUUCCAAAGCUCAAUAUUUCUUCAACAAAAAACAUGGCUUUCCAAUCAAGACUCAAGACUCUAUAUCUUCUUCAAGACUUAAACCAAUAAAGCUGACCCCCCCCCCACCCCCAAACCCCACAAGCUAAGGUACACCUCUUUAACCAGAAGGUACAACCAUCUAAAGCACAAUUUCCCUGUUCAACCACCAUUCAUGGCUUUCAAUUCAAGAUUCCAUUUGGGGUUGCUUAUUUUCUUCAUAUUAACCCCUUUUACUAUCUCUUUCAUUCUCAGCCCAUCACCACAGCCAGAACCAAAACCCACAAUCUAUGAUAUCCUCACAGUAUAUGGGCUGCCAGGUGGCAUCUUUCCAGACACUGUGGAAUCCUAUAAUCUUGAUAAAGAUGGAAACUUUGAAGUAUUUCUGAAAGCCCCUUGUUAUGUAGAGUUUGAAUAUUUAGUUUAUUAUGCUGAAAAGAUUAGUGGGAAACUAGGUAUUGGGUCCAUUACUGAGUUAGAAGGGAUUGAAGUGAAAAGAUUCUUGUUUUGGUUUAAUGUUAAAGAAAUUAGAGUUGAUUUGCCACUUUCUGAUAGUGUUUACUUUCAGAUUGGUUUUGUUAACAAGAAGCUUGAUAUUCAUCAGUUUGAGACUAUUCAUUCUUGUAUGAAGAGUGGAUCUUUGAGACAAGUUCUACAGCUUCCAGCUCCUAUCAAUGAUAUGCAAAUGCUUAUUACUGAGUAAAUGGGAAACAAUAUUCAACUCAAGGAGAAAGUAGCAAUGGGAAAAAUGUACUAUUUUUGAAUUGAAGGAAAAUCAAGACUGGUUAUGAUGAAGAUUAAACAUUCCACAUGUGUAUCGUUUAUAAAGACGAUCUUUGUAGGAUCAUUUUCUUCUAUUCAAAUUGUGAAAGACUGACUAUAUAUAUUUAGUCAUUUCCUCGAUGUUUGAUUACUUGUUAGUUAAUGUAUAUUCCUCUCUUACACCAUCCCUUCCCAUCCGAGUCUGUUUCAGUAUUUUUGAUACGAAAUAUAAUCAAUAUGUGAAAAGGUAGUAUUAGAAGCA
Molecule: RNA transcript, 1179 nt
Organism: Solanum pennellii
Lineage: Eukaryota; Viridiplantae; Streptophyta; Magnoliopsida; Solanales; Solanaceae
Exons: 2
Source: RefSeq, a predicted model, not a curated record